UACGUAGGGUGCGAGCGUUGUCCGGAAUUAUUGGGCGUAAAGAGCUCGUAGGCGGUUUGUUGCGUCGGCUGUGAAAUCCCGAGGCUCAAUCUCGGGUCUGCAGUCGAUACGAGCAAACUAGAGUGUUGCAGGGGAGACUGGAAUUCCUGGUGUAGCGGUGAAAUGCGCAGAUAUCAGGAGGAACACCGGUGGCGAAGGCGGGUCUCUGGGCAACAACUGACGCUGAGGAGCGAAAGCGUGGGGAGCGAACAGG
This 253-nucleotide ribosomal RNA is filed under the name uncultured bacterium. RNAcentral describes it as "partial 16S ribosomal RNA". It matches the Rfam family "Bacterial small subunit ribosomal RNA", at positions 524 to 776 of the family's 1533-position model. The record is from RNAcentral.